AUGGCCUUCUACCUGGCGUCCCUGCCUCAGGGCUCCCCACUAAGACGUGUCCUCCACACAGGCCCAGAGACUACUCUAGAGCACAGGCCCAGGGAGCCGCAUUACUUCCAUCGAUCUCUGCAAAGAGCCAGAAUCCAAUGGCUUCCCCCAUCACCCCAAGCAUCGAAUAGCAAAUCCUCUGUUGGACAUCUCAAAAUCCCCACAAAGCGGCCCUAUGCAGCCUCAUUAUCCACCAAGCUGUGCACUCUCUGUCUCUCUCUCUCCUUCCCUCUGCUCUCUUUUCUGUCUCUCUCUGUCUCCCCCCCCCCUUAUGUAUUUCUCCCCCUUUUUCUCUGUCCUUUCUCUCUGUCUCUCCCCUUCCCUCUCUUUUCUGUCUCUCCCUCUCUUUUCUCUCUCUCUCUCUGUCUCUCCCCUUCCCUCUCUUUUCUGUCUCUCCCUUUCUUUUCUCUCUCUCUCCCCUCUCUUUCUCUCCUCUCUCUCCCUCUCUGUCUCCCUUCCUCCUUCCCUCCUUCUCUUUCCUUCCUUCUCUCUGUCUCUGUCUCUCUCUCUCCCUUCUCUCUCUCCCUUUUCUCUCUCUCCUCCCUUUCUCUCCUCUCCCUCCCUCUCUGUCUCCCUUCCUCCUUCCCUUUCCUUCCUUCUCUCUGUCUCUGUCUCUCUCUCCCUUCUCUCUCUCUCCUCCCUUUCUCUCCUCUCUCUCCCUCUCUGUUUCCCUUCCUCCUUCCCUCCCUCUCCUUCAUCUCCCACCUUUCUGCCUUUGCUCUUGCUAUCCCCUGGGCCUAG
Molecule: long non-coding RNA, 780 nt
Filed under: Monodelphis domestica (gray short-tailed opossum)
Lineage: Eukaryota; Metazoa; Chordata; Mammalia; Didelphimorphia; Didelphidae
Description: lncRNA (ENSMODG00000051268.1)
Source: RNAcentral